RNAcentral lists this transfer RNA (61 nucleotides) under Uroctonus mordax (western forest scorpion). Its description in RNAcentral is "tRNA-Arg". The record is from RNAcentral. Lineage: Eukaryota; Metazoa; Arthropoda; Arachnida; Scorpiones; Chactidae.
AAGUAAAAAGCAAAUAUUGCUUUCAGUUUCGGCCUGAAAAUAUGACUUAGGUCUUUACUUG